AGAUUGAACGCUGGCGGCAUGCCUAACACAUGCAAGUCGAACGGGAGUAGCAAUACUCUAGUGGCGGACGGGUGAGGAAUACGUAGGAAUUUGCCCUUAAGUGGGGGAUAACCCGGGAAACCCGGAUUAAUACCGCAUGACCUCGAAAGAGCAAAGUGGGGGAUCGCAAGACCUCAACGCUUUUGGAGAAGCCUACGUCGGAUUAGCUAGUUGGUGAGGUAAUGGACUCACCAAGGCGACGAUCCGUAACUGGUCUGAGAGGAUGAUCAGUCACACCGGAACUGAGACACGGUCCGGACUCCUACGGGAGGCAGCAGUGGGGAAUAUUGGACAAUGGGCGCAAGCCUGAUCCAGCAAAUGCCGCGUGUGUGAAGAAGGCCUUCGGUUGUAAAGCACUUUAAGUUAGGGUAAGAAAAACUACGACGUACUAACGUAACCAGUAGAGUCUUGACGGUACCGUACAGAAUAAGACAACCG
RNAcentral lists this ribosomal RNA (477 nucleotides) under uncultured soil bacterium. RNAcentral's name for it is "bacterial SSU rRNA". It matches the Rfam family "Bacterial small subunit ribosomal RNA", at positions 26 to 503 of the family's 1533-position model. The record is from RNAcentral.